RNAcentral lists this long non-coding RNA (480 nucleotides) under Olea europaea subsp. europaea. Lineage: Eukaryota; Viridiplantae; Streptophyta; Magnoliopsida; Lamiales; Oleaceae. The record is from RNAcentral.
UUAAGAAUGAAAUUCUAGUAAAAUAAGGAAAAACGCGGAAAAAAGGAAAAUCGCGCCCAGAAAUCAACCAUGCUAUCGCAUGGUUAUAACUCGCGCUGCCGCAUGGUAAUAAAAUUUCAGCCAUUGAAUUCUCGGCCUCAUGUCGUGCGGUCGCACCGUGCUGCCGCAUGGUUAUACUGCCCACUCUCUUCUUCGACUGCUUGUAACGCAUUGAUCCAUUUAGUUUCGGCCUUCGACCCGAACACGAAACUUGUCCCAUUUUGAGUCCCGAACAUGGUUCCAUCAAUAGUUUCUUGAACGAGCAAUCCCAUCGCUUGUUUCACUUGUUUUGAUCUCGAUCGUGUCAUCGGUCUACAUUCGAUUCUCAACGGGUCUCGUCUCGCACUUGCCUUCUUCUAGCUCGGCUCUUAGAUCACAUCAUCCCCUCCCUCUUCAAAAGGAUUCGUCCUCGAAUCUGAACCUGCAUCAAAAAGAGAGAGA